This 495-nucleotide ribosomal RNA is filed under the name uncultured bacterium. Its description in RNAcentral is "partial 16S ribosomal RNA". It matches the Rfam family "Bacterial small subunit ribosomal RNA", at positions 28 to 507 of the family's 1533-position model. The record is from RNAcentral.
GACGAACGCUGGCGGCGUGCCUAAUACAUGCAAGUAGAACGCUGAAGGAGGAGCUUGCUUCUCUGGAUGAGUUGCGAACGGGUGAGUAACGCGUAGGUAACCUGCCUGGUAGCGGGGGAUAACUAUUGGAAACGAUAGCUAAUACCGCAUAAUAGUAGAUGUUGCAUGACAUUUGCUUAAAAGGUGCAAUUGCAUCACUACCAGAUGGACCUGCGUUGUAUUAGCUAGUUGGUGAGGUAACGGCUCACCAAGGCAACGAUACAUAGCCGCCCUGAGAGGGUGAUCGGCCACACUGGGACUGAGACACGGCCCAGACUCCUUCGGGAGGCAGCAGUAGGGAAUCUUCGGCAAUGGACGGAAGGCUGACCGAGCAACGCCGCGUGAGUGAAGAAGGGUCUCGGAUCGUAAAGCUCUGUUGUAAGAGAAGAACGAGUGUGAGAGUGGAAAGUUCACACUGUGACGGUAUCUUACCAGAAAGGGACGGCUAACUACGUG